GCAGAUGGCUGAAAUUCUGAUCCGAUGUGGCUGGUUAAUGCAUGAUCUGAAAACCCCUGCACUGGUGAUUUUGGGACAGAUCUAGAAUAUACCAAUAAAUAUAUUAACAUACCAAGUAGUCUAGGAGCAGCCACUGGGCGAACACCAAACCUUGCAUCCCUGCUGCUGUCUCUGAGCUCAGCAGACACGUCUUUGCAGAAGAGUUCUAUAAUGGUGGUACAAUGGUGCCCCCUCGUGACAGAAGCUUGAACUACAGCUUGAACAUCGUGUGACAUGAUGAAUGAAUUUAUUGAGCCCCAGGAAGAAGGAAAAUUAAAGAAGAGCAAAGAAUAAUAGCUGGACAGAAGAUGGGGGUCAUUGAACCUAUAUCCUAGUUGCCAGACCAGUAAACUGACCAUGGGACCUGGGGGAGGCAGCAGAUGACCGAAAACCUGGAGUG
Long non-coding RNA from Homo sapiens (human), 439 nucleotides. The record is from Ensembl. NCBI's taxonomy places the organism in Eukaryota, Metazoa, Chordata, Mammalia, Primates, Hominidae.